RNAcentral lists this ribosomal RNA (253 nucleotides) under uncultured bacterium. RNAcentral describes it as "partial 16S ribosomal RNA". It matches the Rfam family "Bacterial small subunit ribosomal RNA", at positions 524 to 776 of the family's 1533-position model. The record is from RNAcentral.
UACGAAGGGUGCAAGCGUUACUCGGAAUUACUGGGCGUAAAGCGUGCGUAGGUGGUUUGUUAAGUCUGAUGUGAAAGCCCUGGGCUCAACCUGGGAAUUGCAUUGGAUACUGGCAGGCUAGAGUGCGGUAGAGGAUGGCGGAAUUCCCGGUGUAGCAGUGAAAUACGUAGAGAUCGGGAGGAACAUCUGUGGCGAAGGCGGCCAUCUGGACCAGCACUGACACUGAGGCACGAAAGCGUGGGGAGCAAACAGG